GUUGAGCGGGCGAGCCUGC
Molecule: unclassified non-coding RNA, 19 nt
Filed under: Chlamydomonas reinhardtii
Lineage: Eukaryota; Viridiplantae; Chlorophyta; Chlorophyceae; Chlamydomonadales; Chlamydomonadaceae
Description: small RNA Cre_2092
Source: RNAcentral